GCAAGUCGAGCGCGAAAGUACUUCGGUAUGAGUAGAGCGGCGGACGGGUGAGUAACGCGUAGGAAUCUACCUGGUAGUGGGGGACAACUCGAGGAAACUCGAGCUAAUACCGCAUACGCCCUAAGGGGGAAAGUGGGGGAUCUUCGGACCUCGCGCUAUCGGAUGAGCCUGCGUAGGAUUAGCUAGUUGGUGAGGUAAAGGCUCACCAAGGCGACGAUCCUUAGCUGGUCUGAGAGGAUGAUC
This 243-nucleotide ribosomal RNA is filed under the name uncultured bacterium. RNAcentral describes it as "partial 16S ribosomal RNA". It matches the Rfam family "Bacterial small subunit ribosomal RNA", at positions 57 to 305 of the family's 1533-position model. The record is from RNAcentral.